RNAcentral lists this ribosomal RNA (497 nucleotides) under uncultured bacterium. RNAcentral's name for it is "partial 16S ribosomal RNA". It matches the Rfam family "Bacterial small subunit ribosomal RNA", at positions 28 to 507 of the family's 1533-position model. The record is from RNAcentral.
GAUGAACGCUGGCGGCGUGCCUAAUACAUGCAAGUCGAGCGAACAGACGAGGAGCUUGCUCCUCUGACGUUAGCGGCGGACGGGUGAGUAACACGUGGAUAACCUACCUAUAAGACUGGGAUAACUUCGGGAAACCGGAGCUAAUACCGGAUAAUAUAUUGAACCGCAUGGUUCAAUAGUGAAAGACGGUUUUGCUGUCACUUAUAGAUGGAUCCGCGCCGCAUUAGCUAGUUGGUAAGGUAACGGCUUACCAAGGCAACGAGGCGUAGCCGACCUGAGAGGGUGAUCGGCCACACUGGAACUGAGACACGGUCCAGACUCCUACGGGAGGCAGCAGUAGGGAAUCUUCCGCAAUGGGCGAAAGCCUGACGGAGCAACGCCGCGUGAGUGAUGAAGGUCUUCGGAUCGUAAAACUCUGUUAUUAGGGAAGAACAAAUAUGUAAGUAACUAUGCACGUCUUGACGGUACCUAAUCAGAAAGCCACGGCUAACUACGUG